This 137-nucleotide ribosomal RNA is filed under the name Candidatus Omnitrophota bacterium. RNAcentral describes it as "partial 16S ribosomal RNA". It matches the Rfam family "Bacterial small subunit ribosomal RNA", at positions 1 to 150 of the family's 1533-position model. Lineage: Bacteria; Pseudomonadati; Candidatus Omnitrophota. The record is from RNAcentral.
CUAUUGGAGAGUUUGAUCCUGGCUCAGAACGAACGCUGGCGGCGUGGAUUAGGCAUGCAAGUCGUGCGAUCCUUCGGGAUAGCGGCAAAAGGGUGAGUAACGCGUGGGUAAUCUACCCUCAAGUUAAGGAUAACACC